UAUUACAAUGAAGAGUUUGAUCCUGGCUCAGGAUGAACGCUAGCUACAGGCUUAACACAUGCAAGUCGAGGGGCAGCAUGGUCUUAGCUUGCUAAGGCCGAUGGCGACCGGCGCACGGGUGAGUAACACGUAUCCAACCUGCCGUCUACUCUUGGACAGCCUUCUGAAAGGAAGAUUAAUACAAGAUGGCAUCAUGAGUCCGCAUGUUCACAU
Molecule: ribosomal RNA, 213 nt
Filed under: Akkermansia muciniphila
Lineage: Bacteria; Pseudomonadati; Verrucomicrobiota; Verrucomicrobiia; Verrucomicrobiales; Akkermansiaceae
Description: partial 16S ribosomal RNA
Rfam family: Bacterial small subunit ribosomal RNA
Source: RNAcentral